GGCGAGGUAGCUCAGCCGGUUAGAGCGUCGGAUUCAUAACCCGGAGGUCGGGAGUUCAAGUCUCCCUCUCGCUACUA
RNAcentral lists this transfer RNA (77 nucleotides) under Flavobacteriaceae bacterium. RNAcentral describes it as "tRNA-Met". It matches the Rfam family "tRNA". From Rfam's summary of the family: Transfer RNA (tRNA) molecules are approximately 80 nucleotides in length. Their secondary structure includes four short double-helical elements and three loops (D, anti-codon, and T loops). Further hydrogen bonds mediate the characteristic L-shaped molecular structure. tRNAs have two regions of fundamental functional importance: the anti-codon, which is responsible for specific mRNA codon recognition, and the 3' end, to which the tRNAs corresponding amino acid is attached (by aminoacyl-tRNA synthetases). tRNAs cope with the degeneracy of the genetic code in two manners: having more than one tRNA (with a specific anti-codon) for a particular amino acid; and 'wobble' base-pairing, i.e. permitting non-standard base-pairing at the 3rd anti-codon position. The record is from RNAcentral. Lineage: Bacteria; Pseudomonadati; Bacteroidota; Flavobacteriia; Flavobacteriales; Flavobacteriaceae.